AAAAGUAGCAGCUUUGCUGAAGCAGCAAGGUGCUGGCGUCAAAGGUGCCAGCAAAAGUGCUCCUGUAAUUGAGGAAGUGCCUCCGUUGCUUGAAGAGGGUGGAAAAUUAGAGGUAUGGCGCAUAAAUGGUAAUGCAAAGACACCUGUCCCAAAAGAAGAUAUUGGUAAAUUCUACAGUGGAGAUUGCUAUGUGGUUCCCUACAACUACCAUUCUCAUGAAAGGAGAGACGAUUACUAUCUAUGUUGGUGGAUUGGAAAGGAUAGUAUUGAGGAGGACCAAAUCACGGCUGCUCGAUUGGCCAGUACAAUUUGCAAUUCACUCAAAGGAAGACCUGUGCUGGGUCGGGUGUUUCAAGGGAAAGAACCUCCACAGUUUGUUGCAAUCUUCCAGCCCAUGUUGGUCCUUAAGGGUGGUUUGAGCACUGGCUACAAAAACUAUAUUGCUGACAAAGGCUUGAAUGAUGAAACCUAUACUGCUGAUUCAGUUGCACUUAUUCGGUUAUCUGGAACUUCUGUGCAUAAUAACAAAGCGGUUCAAGUGGAUGCUGUGCCAAGUUCACUGAACUCUAAUGAGUGUUUUCUUCUGCAAUCUGGCUCUUCAUUAUUCAGUUGGCAUGGUAACCAGAGUUCUUAUGAGCAGCAGCAAUUAGCAGCAAAGGUUGCAGAAUUCUUGAAGCCAGGAGCAACAGUGAAACACACUAAAGAAGGAACAGAGAGCUCUGCUUUCUGGUUUGCCCUUGGAGGAAAACAAAGUUAUACCAGCAAGAAAGUGGCUCCAGAAGUCUCCAGGGAUCCCCACUUGUUUGCUUAUUCAUUUAAUAAAGGAAAAUUUGAGGUUGAAGAAAUCUACAACUUUGCUCAAGAUGAUUUAUUGACCGAGGAUGUCUUACUACUCGACACACAUGCUGAAGUGUUUGUUUGGGUUGGUCAGUCAGCAGACUCCAAAGAAAAGCAGAGCGCUUUUGAAAUUGGACAGAAAUACGUGGAGAUGGCUGCAUCUUUGGAAGGAUUAUCACCAAAUGUUCCACUCUAUAAAAUCACAGAAGGAAAUGAACCUUGCUUUUUUACAACAUUUUUCUCAUGGGAUCCUGCAAAAGCCAGUGCUCAUGGAAACUCAUUCCAGAAGAAGGUUAUGCUACUCUUUGGGGUUGGUCAUGCUUCAGAGAAUCAGCAAAGGUCAAAUGGGGCAGGUGGGCCAACCCAAAGGGCUUCAGCGUUAGCUGCUUUAAACUCGGCUUUCAGUUCCCCAUCUCCCCCAAAAUCUGGUUCUGCACCGAGGCCUGCUGGAGCAAGUCAGGCUUCUUCACAAAGAGCAGCUGCAAUAGCUGCAUUAUCUAACGUUCUUACAGCUGAGAAAAAGCAGUCGAGUGAGAGUGGUUCUCCUGUCCAAUCAAACAGAAGCUCACCUGUACGAUCAAGCAGAAGCUCUCCUGUUCGAUCAGUAGACUCUGGCCCUGCUGAAAGUGAUCUUUCUACUGCUGAGGUCCAAGAUUCCGAAAAAGUUUCAGAACCUAAGGAGAUUGUUGAGCCCGCUGAAACUAAUGGGUCAGAACCAGAGCAGGAUGAGGGUGGAAAUGAAAGUGGUCAAGCUAUAUUUAGUUAUGAACAGCUGAAGGCUAAAUCUGACAACCCUGUCACCGGGAUUGAUUUUAAGCGAAGAGAGGCCUAUCUAUCGGAUGAAGAAUUUAUGUCUGUACUUGGUAUGAAGAAAGAAGCAUUCUACAAGUUGCCUAAAUGGAAACAAGAUAUGCACAAAAGGAAAACUGAUCUCUUCUAGAUCCUGCAUCGGAGAAACCAAAUGGCCUGUUGCUAUCUUGUUGUUGCAAUUCUCGACAUUCGUUCCCAUGUUUCUUGCCAGAGCAACCUACUUUUAUAGGUACAUAUUGCCUGGAUCGUGUAUGUAGCAUUUUUUUUCAUUUGCUUCUCUCAAUGACCAUAGCUCCUGGUAGUUUUAUUUUUUCGAUUUUGUGAUGCCUGCUUGAAGUUUGGUUUUUUUCGAUUGGAAAUCAGCAGUCAGGUGGUUGAUUCUUUGAUUUGAUCAGUGUAUCCGAGUUUGUGUUCAUUGAAGUCAUGUAUUUUGUUAAUUAAAAGGGUGUAUACAUUAUGUUGUAACCUAUACAAAAAGGAAUAUAACAUUUGGGGUUUGCCAUCAAGAGACCUUUGUGGCUCUGCUCUUGUUUUCGUUUUUUAAACGGUUGUAUCCCAGGCCAGCUUGCAUGCAGCUCGACUAUUCCACCGAGGGCGAUGCUUUGGUUCCUGAAUUACUUAUAAGUUCACAUAUUGGCCAUAGAUAUUUAUAUCAUAUGUAUUUGAGGUUUGUUUGGUUGCUAAAUCAAAAAGACAUUGUAUCAAGAGUUAAUCUCUUGGUGGUUUGCAAUUCCAUUAUUGGAGAGUUUUGUUGA
Molecule: unclassified non-coding RNA, 2402 nt
Filed under: Hevea brasiliensis (rubber tree)
Lineage: Eukaryota; Viridiplantae; Streptophyta; Magnoliopsida; Malpighiales; Euphorbiaceae
Source: RNAcentral